UACGUAGGGUGCAAGCGUUAAUCGGAAUUACUGGGCGUAAAGCGUGCGCAGGCGGUGAUGUAAGACAGAUGUGAAAUCCCCGGGCUCAACCUGGGAACUGCAUUUGUGACUGCAUCGCUAGAGUACGGCAGAGGGGGAUGGAAUUCCGCGUGUAGCAGUGAAAUGCGUAGAUAUGCGGAGGAACACCGAUGGCGAAGGCAAUCCCCUGGGCCGUACUGACGCUCGAUGCACGAAAGCGUGGGGAGCAAACAGG
Molecule: ribosomal RNA, 253 nt
Filed under: uncultured bacterium
Lineage: Bacteria
Description: partial 16S ribosomal RNA
Rfam family: Bacterial small subunit ribosomal RNA
Source: RNAcentral